UGUGUUUGUAAUACGUAUCAUUCCAUUGUUGUGUCUAUCAUGUGCAUAGUAUGCCAGUCUAGAUCUAGACGUACAAGUAAACGUAGUACACGCCCCGCUAAUUAAGUCCCCGACUUUCGCCGUGCAAUGGGUAUAUUUUUAGUCUUGGCCAGCUCUUUAAAACAAACUCGUUAGGAUUAUGAAUCCAUUUACCGUCCUCUAAUCCCAAAACUAAUACUACUACUACUGCCAAGCGAAUUCGCAACUCAUUGAACGUCGAACCAUUAAUGUGUGCAAUCGACCACAGCCAAAUUUGAUCUCAAUUUGGUUGAAUUGGACUUCCGAGCUUGAAGAAUUUUACUCUCAAAAAUUCUACAAGCCCAAGUCCCGAGAAACAGAAACACAAGCAACCCACUAACUAUCAUUCAUCGUGAAUUCCUAAUAAUCCCAAAUCAACAGACUUUUGUACACCUUACGAAGCGUGGCAGAGUUUCGCACACCUAACACCAAGCCCCAGCCCCAGCCCCAGCCCCAGCACAAGUCGACGCAUAUUUUGAGUUUUAUGUCAUCGAGGAGGUUCCUCUCCUGAGCUAAUGCGCUAAAAUUGACUAUACAAGUUGAGUUAAAACUCUGAUUGUUUUUUGUGUUCUUGAUGC
This is a long non-coding RNA of Drosophila gunungcola (fruit fly), 635 nucleotides long. RefSeq lists it as uncharacterized. NCBI's taxonomy places the organism in Eukaryota, Metazoa, Arthropoda, Insecta, Diptera, Drosophilidae. The record is from RefSeq and is a predicted model, not a curated record. The transcript has 3 exons.